AUUGAACGCUGGCGGCAUGCUUUACACAUGCAAGUCGAACGGUAACAGGGUGCUUGCACCGCUGACGAGUGGCGAACGGGUGAGUAAUGCGUCGGAACGUACCGAGUAGUGGGGGAUAACGCAGCGAAAGUUGUGCAAUACCGCAUACGUACUGAGGUAGAAAGUGGGGGACCUUCGGGCCUCACGCUAUUCGAGCGGCCGACGUCUGAUUAGCUAGUAGGUGAGGAAAAGGCUCACCUAGGCGACGAUGAGUAGCGGGUCUGAGAGGAUGAUCCGCCACACUGGGACGGGGACACGUCCCAGACUCCUACGGGAGGCAGAAGUGGGGAAUGUUGGACAAUGGGCGAAAGCCUGAUCCAGCCAUGCCGCGUGUCUGAAGAAGGCCUUCGGGUUGUAAAGGACUUUUGUCAGGGAGGAAAUCCCUAGUGCUAAUAACACUGGGGGAUGACAGUACCUGAAGAAUAAGCACCGGCUAACUACGUGCCAGCAGCCGCCGUAA
This 499-nucleotide ribosomal RNA is filed under the name uncultured bacterium. RNAcentral describes it as "partial 16S ribosomal RNA". It matches the Rfam family "Bacterial small subunit ribosomal RNA", at positions 30 to 523 of the family's 1533-position model. The record is from RNAcentral.